AAUAGUACGAAUUCCCGUUGAUCCUGCGGGAGGCUGCUGCUAUUAGGGUUCGAUUAAGCCAUGCAAGUCGGAGGGUUCUUCGGAACACAGGCGAACUGCUCAGUAACACGUUGAUAAUCUGCCCUUAGGUCUGGAAUAACCCCGGGAAACUGGGGCUAAGACCGGAUAGGAAGAUCGUUCUGGAAAGAAUUUCUUCUUAAAGGCAACGCCUAAGGAUGAGUCAGCGGCUGAUUAGGUUGUUGGUGGGGUAACGGCCCACCAAGCUUAAGAUCAGUAGGGGCCUUGAGAGAGGGAGCCCCGAGAAGGGAACUGAGAUACAUUCCCUAGCCCCACGGGGUGCAGCAGGCGCGAAACCUUUACAAUGCACGCAAGUGUGAUAAGGGAACCCUAAGUGCUCAGUUAUGCUGGGCUUUUGCCAAGCGUAAAUAGCUUGGAGAAUAAGUGGUGGGCAAGACUGGUGCCAGCCGCCGCGGUAACACCAGCGCCACAAGUGGGAGCCGCUAUUAUUGGGCCUAAAGCGUCCGUAGCCGGUUUAGCAAAUCUUCUGUGAAAUUGUUAAGCUUAACUUAACAACGUGCAGAAGACACUACUAAACUUGGGACCGGGAGGAGUCAGAGGUAUUCCAGGAGGAGCGGUAAAAUGCAAUAAUCCCUGGAGGACCACCUAUGGCGAAGGCAUCUGACCAGAACGGAUCCGACGGUGAGGGACGAAAGCUAGGGGAGCGAUCCGGAUUAGAUACGGAUAAUGUUAAGACAUUUCUUGAGUUAACUCAAAAAGAAUCGUUCAAAUUCUAUAAAAAUUUGAGUUAAAUAUCAGAAUAUGAAAAUGAAUAUUAUCCGCUAACGACCCGAGUAGUCCUAGCUGUAAACUCUGCGAGUUAGGUGUUGCGCAAUCUAUAAGGUUGCGCAGUAUCGUAGCGAAGGCGUUAAACUCGCCGCCUGGGAAGUACGGUCGCAAGGCUGAAACUUAAAGGAAUUGGCGGGGGAGCACUACAAGGGGGGCGGCGUGCGGUUUAAUCUAACUCAACACAGAGAAUCUCACCAGGAGCGACGGCAGGAUGAAAGUCAGAUUAAAGGUUUUACUUGACAAGCCGAGAGGUGGUGCAUGGCCGCCGUCAGCUCGUGCCGUAAGGUGUCCAGCUAAGCCUGGUAACGAGCGAGACCUAUAUCUACAAUUGCUAACAGAUCCUUUUGGAUGACUGAGCACAUUGUGGAGACUGCCUUGGAAACAAGGAGGAAGGUGUAGGCUACGGUAGGUCUGUAUGCCCCGAAUCUCCUGGGCUACACGCGCGCAACAAUGGUACGGACAAUGGGUCACGACUCCGUAAGGAGAAGUUAAUCCUCGAAACCGUAUCCAAGUCCAGAUUGAGGAUUGUAACCCAUCCUCAUGACGAUGGAAUCCCUAGUAAUCGGGCGUCAUCAGCGCCCGGUGAAUACGUCCCUGCUCCUUGCACACACUGCCCGUCAAACCACUCGAGCAGGGUCUAGAUGAGGCUUAAUUUUUUGAUUAUGUCGAAUCUAGGCUCAGUGAGAAGGGUUAAGUCGUCACAAGGUAUCCGUAGGGGAACCUGCGGAUGGAUCACCUCCUU
This 1588-nucleotide ribosomal RNA is filed under the name Candidatus Woesearchaeota archaeon. Its description in RNAcentral is "bacterial SSU rRNA". It matches the Rfam family "Archaeal small subunit ribosomal RNA". The record is from RNAcentral. Lineage: Archaea; Nanobdellati; Candidatus Woesearchaeota.